Non-coding RNA from Salmo salar (Atlantic salmon), 1027 nucleotides. The record is from RefSeq and is a predicted model, not a curated record. NCBI's taxonomy places the organism in Eukaryota, Metazoa, Chordata, Actinopteri, Salmoniformes, Salmonidae.
AUUCCUGUGUAUACAGUCCAUCCAUGCAGAUAACAUGCUUCCGGACACUGUUGUGCCGUCUGAGGAUACAGCAGCCUUUGAGGAGUAGAACAUGUUCCUAUGGCUUCACCCCUGUCAAUCUGUCGGACCCUGUCCAGCAGCAUGUGACUCCACCUAGAACUCUAUUCUGUCUAUAUGUUCAUCAUAGGACCUGUCACUCAAACACACACUCCAAACAGCAUGAAGACUAUCAGAGGAGACAGGAAGCGAGAUGUUUCGUAGUGUGUCACCAUGUUUCAGCACCGGUGUUGUGUCACUAUCAGCUAUCAUUGGUCAUUCCACCUCCACCAGACAGUGGGGUGUCAGUAUACAGAGGAGGCUCUAUUCAACGGACCCUAUUAAGUCAGUGAUUAAACCAGUGACCAUGCCUGGAAGUGGGAAGAAACUUCCUAAAGGCCCUAGGACCAAACAACCAUCCAGAACCAAUCAGCCGACCCCAAAGGAGGACAAGGUGAUGCCGUCCUCCAAUCAGAUUAGAGGCCUGGGAGAUGCCUAGGAUAUGCAUAGGAUAUUAUGCAGUGCAUUGCUUUUGCAACAGCAGACUAGUACCAUUUGCCAACACUCUGCCAUGACCUCAUAGCCCAUGGCUUCUACGAAAUAGAUUUACCAAGAGAUGCCUCAAAUGUACUCGUAAUAUGCACUGACAACGCCCAAAAACCCAGUGACAAUGCAACAAUGUUCUUCUUCAGGGAGGGAUCGGUGGUCUUUUGGAACGUUGAAGAGAAAACAGUAAGAAGGAUUCCGAUCCUAUUGCACAUGAAGAAAGUGAUGAGGAUCUUGGAGCAGCAUGAGAUUCAGCCCUACGAGGUAGCUCUGGUCCACUGGGAAAAUGAAGAGAUCCACUACACUAUUGGAGAGUACCUCACCUGAUAUGGGGAAACUCAAAAGUUACAACAUGGUAACUUCCUGCUGAAUAAUGAGACAUAUCCUGACGAGGCCGUGCUGGAUAAAUUAGCAUUCUCAAAUGCCCUUUCUUUGUCAGGUUAGC